RNAcentral lists this unclassified non-coding RNA (242 nucleotides) under Hevea brasiliensis (rubber tree). Lineage: Eukaryota; Viridiplantae; Streptophyta; Magnoliopsida; Malpighiales; Euphorbiaceae. The record is from RNAcentral.
GCCGUGACGAAGACGAAGGCGACCUCGGCUCCCGCCCGGAGGCCGGCGAAGGCGGCGAAGACGUCAGCCAAGGACACGCCCAGCAAGAAGGCGGCGCCGGCGGCCAAGAAGCCCGCCGCCGCGGCGAAGAAGGCGCCCGCCAAGAAGGCCGCGCCGGCGAAGAAGGCGGCCGCUCCGGCGAGGAAGGUGCCCGCCCGGAAGGCGAAGAAGUAGAGCUCUCUCUCCGGCGAGCGAGCAAUCUA